GGUAGCAGAGAAGCUUGCUUCUCUUGAGAGCGGCGGACGGGUGAGUAAAGCCUAGGAAUCUGCCUGGUAGUGGGGGAUAACGUUCGGAAACGGACGCUAAUACCGCAUACGUCCUACGGGAGAAAGCAGGGGACCUUCGGGCCUUGCGCUAUCAGAUGAGCCUAGGUCGGAUUAGCUAGUUGGUGAGGUAAUGGCUCACCAAGGCGACGAUCCGUAACUGGUCUGAGAGGAUGAUCAGUCACACUGGAACUGAGACACGGUCCAGACUCCUACGGGAGGCAGCAGUGGGGAAUAUUGGACAAUGGGCGAAAGCCUGAUCCAGCCAUGCCGCGUGUGUGAAGAAGGUCUUCGGAUUG
Molecule: ribosomal RNA, 356 nt
Filed under: uncultured Pseudomonas sp.
Lineage: Bacteria; Pseudomonadati; Pseudomonadota; Gammaproteobacteria; Pseudomonadales; Pseudomonadaceae
Description: bacterial SSU rRNA
Rfam family: Bacterial small subunit ribosomal RNA
Source: RNAcentral